GGCCUCGUAGCUCAGCGCGUACAAAGCGUGGGCGGCGUCCAUGCGUGGGUUCGAAUCCCACUGAGGCUA
This 69-nucleotide transfer RNA is filed under the name Echinostoma caproni. It matches the Rfam family "tRNA". From Rfam's summary of the family: Transfer RNA (tRNA) molecules are approximately 80 nucleotides in length. Their secondary structure includes four short double-helical elements and three loops (D, anti-codon, and T loops). The record is from Rfam by way of RNAcentral. Lineage: Eukaryota; Metazoa; Platyhelminthes; Trematoda; Plagiorchiida; Echinostomatidae.